RNAcentral lists this ribosomal RNA (364 nucleotides) under uncultured eukaryote. RNAcentral describes it as "partial 18S ribosomal RNA". It matches the Rfam family "Eukaryotic small subunit ribosomal RNA", at positions 592 to 976 of the family's 1831-position model. The record is from RNAcentral.
CAAUAGCGUAUAUUUAAGUUGUUGCAGUUAAAAAGCUCGUAGUCGGAUUUUGGCUGAGAACGAUCGGUCCGCCGUUAGGUGUGCACUGAUUGGUCUCAGCUUCCUGGUGAGGAGGUGUGCUUCACGGCCACUUAGUCACCGUGGUUACUUUGAAAAAAUUAGAGUGUUCAAAGCGGGCUUACGCUUGAAUAUAUUAGCAUGGAAUAACACCAUAGGACUCCUGUCCUAUUUCGUUGGUCUCGGGACGGGAGUAAUGAUUAAGAGGAACAGUUGGGGGCAUUCGUAUUUCAUUGUCAGAGGUGAAAUUCUUGGAUUUAUGAAGACGAACUUCUGCGAAAGCAUUUGCCAAGGAUGUUUUCAUUGA